RNAcentral lists this ribosomal RNA (393 nucleotides) under Quistrachia legendrei. RNAcentral describes it as "partial 16S ribosomal RNA". It matches the Rfam family "Archaeal large subunit ribosomal RNA", at positions 1890 to 2621 of the family's 2987-position model. Lineage: Eukaryota; Metazoa; Mollusca; Gastropoda; Stylommatophora; Camaenidae. The record is from RNAcentral.
UCSCCUGUUUAUCAAAAACAUAGCCCUUAGUAGUCAUUAUUGGUGUUUUYUGCUCAAUGAAAUUUAAAUAGCCGCAGUACCCUGACUGUGCAAAGGUAGCAUAAUAAGUUGGCUUAUAAUUAAAGUYUAGAAUGAAUGGAAUAAUGGRGAAUAACUGUAUCUCGAGKGAUUAUAUAAAUUACUUAGCACGUGAAAAUUCGUGUAAUUAAHUAACAGACGAGAAGACCCUAGAAAUUUUGAGGACUUGUUCACGCGGUUUUUGUUGGGGCAACAGUGUAACAGAUAACUUACACUAUUUACAAGAAAUAUAUUUUGAUAGAAUAAAUUACUCUAGGGAUAACAGCGUAAUGUUAUUGACGAUUGCGACCUCGAUGUUGGACUAGGAUACGAAAG